Molecule: ribosomal RNA, 253 nt
Filed under: uncultured bacterium
Lineage: Bacteria
Description: partial 16S ribosomal RNA
Rfam family: Bacterial small subunit ribosomal RNA
Source: RNAcentral
UACGAGGGGGGCAAGCGUUGUUCGGAAUUAUUGGGCGUAAAGGGCGUGUAGGCGGUGCGGUAAGUCACCUGUGAAACCUCUAGGCUUAACCUAGAGCCUGCAGGCGAAACUGCCGUGCUUGAGGGUGGGAGAGGUGCGUGGAAUUCCCGGUGUAGCGGUGAAAUGCGUUGAUAUCCGCAGGAACUCCGGUGGCGAAGGCGGCGUGCUGGACCUCUUCUGACGCUGAGGCGCGAAAGCCAGGGGAGCGAACGGG